CAUUAAGAAGCUAUGGAACAGCGCUAGCCUUUUAAGCUGGAGAAAGAGGGCCCUACCCCUCCUUAAUGG
This 69-nucleotide transfer RNA is filed under the name Suthora fulvifrons. RNAcentral describes it as "tRNA-Lys". It matches the Rfam family "tRNA". From Rfam's summary of the family: Transfer RNA (tRNA) molecules are approximately 80 nucleotides in length. Their secondary structure includes four short double-helical elements and three loops (D, anti-codon, and T loops). The record is from RNAcentral. Lineage: Eukaryota; Metazoa; Chordata; Aves; Passeriformes; Sylviidae.